AUGUCAAGGGGCUGGGAAAUGAGUCACGGGUACACCGCUCUCUUCUCGAGGGCCAGAGCGAGGCUUGUGGUAAAUGGGUGUGGAGCCCCCAGCAAGGCCCCCCUAAGAACGGGAUCAGGGAAGCUGUGCCCAGAGGCAGCUGUCCCUUCAAAAAUAACCCCAGGUGGGGCUCUGAGAGCAGCCAGGCCCAGGACAGACCCCAGCUCCUGGCAGGGGAGAGACAGCCCGGACGCCAGGACACACCUUCCAAGCCAGACCCAACGCUCUGCCUGGAACGCGCCUUUCUCUCCUGCCUGCAGGCUGCCGACUGUCCCGCCCCAUCAGCCAAGGACGUCUAUGUCAUCCGUCCCCUGUGAUAAAGCCCCCUGCCACCUGCCAAGGAAGGCUUCUCACACCCAGACCUCAGCCCACGUUCAGUUACAUGAGAGAAACACCCCGGUCCGGUCAGCUUCUGAGAGAUGGCUGGGGCCAGGGAAUCCGAGCCAAAAGCAGGCAGCAUAAAGCUUCUUCGGCAAACCUUUCCACGCCAACACCUAUGACCCAGCCAGGUGAGGACUCCACAGUGGCCUUGCCCCAAAGCGGGGCUGUGGAAUCUUUAGAGCUGUCCAAGGCGCGUAUCGGGGCCAGAAAGUCUGGGGAAAGUUCCGCCAGGCAGGAGAGAGUUAACGGGUUUGCAAACCCUGAGCCACCAGGGCCAGCUCCCUCCGUGCCCUCAGCCAGCCACCGGCCGGCCGGGCCUCGCUGCCAGCCCGGAGCUGACAAAACUGACCGCUGAGUCAGGCCUGCCGAGCUCCCGGCCCAAUUGUUUGCAAAGACAAAAGGGACGCUGACGGCCCAGCUCUCGGGCCAGGCAGGUGGGCGCGGGGAGGAGGCUGAGCCUGGCUGCCUGGCUCUGCACCCGUCUCAGCGAUGCCUGGGGGGAGGUGGCACGACCCUGAUGGGCUGCAGUGCCCCAGCCCCCAGAAACGAGGAGGGGACAGUCCCUCUGACCCCUUGCCCUUGUUUGGGUCUCCACCCCCUGGCAACCCACAGAGCCGGAGCCUCUUCAUCGUCACAGGUAUAAAACGGCCAGACAGUACACCCAGUUACAAAACACUGGCGCCCGAAGUCAGGAGCACACGGCAGGAAAAUCUGUGACCGACACCCGACUAUCCUCACGCGGGGCUCUGAGGACCACGAGGGGCACCCUUCCUCCUUGCCCACCCGGGAAGCGGUGCUGUGUGUGCGUUCCUGAGCCAGCCUGCGUGGGUUCAAAUCCCGUCACUUCAGCUGCCUGGACAGGUUGUUAACGUUUUUUUUAAACCUUUGCCAGUUUCGCCAUCUAUGAAGCAGGACUGACUUCAGUCCCAACCUGAGGAUGGCUGUGAGGACAGCAGAGAGUGCAGGGGGGCCCCCCUGCGCAUCGGCACUGCCUUAGGCAGUAUUAUUCCCAUUUUCCAGAUGAGGAAACUGGAGGCUCUGGAAGAGGAUGUCUCUAGCCAAGAUGGAGUCACUGGUAAGU
Molecule: long non-coding RNA, 1501 nt
Filed under: Sus scrofa (pig)
Lineage: Eukaryota; Metazoa; Chordata; Mammalia; Artiodactyla; Suidae
Description: lncRNA (ENSSSCG00015004645.1)
Source: RNAcentral